UAGCUCAGUUGGUAGAGCGCUCCACCUGUAAUGGAGAGGUCCCGGGUUCGAUACCCGG
Molecule: transfer RNA, 58 nt
Filed under: Ixodes scapularis (black-legged tick)
Lineage: Eukaryota; Metazoa; Arthropoda; Arachnida; Ixodida; Ixodidae
Rfam family: tRNA
About the family: Transfer RNA (tRNA) molecules are approximately 80 nucleotides in length.
Source: Rfam by way of RNAcentral